GAUGAACGCUGGCGGCGUGCCUAAUACAUGCAAGUCGAGCGAACGGACGAGAAGCUUGCUUCUCUGAUGUUAGCGGCGGACGGGUGAGUAACACGUGGAUAACCUACCUAUAAGACUGGGAUAACUUCGGGAAACCGGAGCUAAUACCGGAUAAUAUUUUGAACCGCAUGGUUCAAAAGUGAAAGACGGUCUUGCUGUCACUUAUAGAUGGAUCCGCGCUGCAUUAGCUAGUUGGUAAGGUAACGGCUUACCAAGGCAACGAUGCAUAGCCGACCUGAGAGGGGGAUGGGCCACAGUGGAGGUGAGAGGCGGUCCAGAGUCCUACGGGAGGCAGCGGUAGGGAAGGGUGCGCGAUGGGGGGAAGCGUGACGGAGCGGCGCCGGGGGGGUGAUGAAGGUCUGCGGGUCGUAAAACUGUGUUAGGGGGGAAGAACGUAUGUGUAAGUGACUGUGCGCGUGUGGAGGGUACGUAGUCAGAAGGCCACGGCUAACUACGU
Molecule: ribosomal RNA, 496 nt
Filed under: uncultured bacterium
Lineage: Bacteria
Description: partial 16S ribosomal RNA
Rfam family: Bacterial small subunit ribosomal RNA
Source: RNAcentral